This 266-nucleotide ribosomal RNA is filed under the name uncultured Planctomycetota bacterium. Its description in RNAcentral is "uncultured planctomycete partial 16S ribosomal RNA". It matches the Rfam family "Bacterial small subunit ribosomal RNA", at positions 565 to 829 of the family's 1533-position model. Lineage: Bacteria; Pseudomonadati; Planctomycetota. The record is from RNAcentral.
GAGCACGUAGGUGGGUUUGUAAGUCAGAUGUGAAAGCCUUCUGUUUAAAGGAAGAACGGCAUCUGAAACUACAAACCUUGAGUGUAGGAGGGGAGAAUGGAACUUCUGGUGGAGCGGUGAAAUGCGUAGAUAUCAGAAGGAACGCCGGCGGCGAAAGCGAUUCUCUGGCCUAUUACUGACACUCAGUGUGCGAAAGCUAGGGGAGCAAACGGGAUUAGAUACCCCGGUAGUCCUAGCCGUAAACGAUGGGCACUAAGUAGAGGGGU